CCUACGGGAGGCAGCAGUGAGGAAUAUUGGACAAUGGGCGCAAGCCUGAUCCAGCCAUGCCGCGUGCAGGAAGACGGUCCUAUGGAUUGUAAACUGCUUUUGUACAGGAAGAAACACUCCCUCGUGAGGGAGCUUGACGGUACUGUAAGAAUAAGGAUCGGCUAACUCCGUGCCAGCAGCCGCGGUAAUACGGAGGAUCCAAGCGUUAUCCGGAAUCAUUGGGUUUAAAGGGUCCGUAGGCGGUUUAAUAAGUCAGUGGUGAAAUCUGGUCGCUCAACGAUCAAACGGCCAUUGAUACUGUUAGACUUGAAUUAUUAGGAAGUAACUAGAAUAUGUAGUGUAGCGGUGAAAUGCUUAGAUAUUACAUGGAAUACCAAUUGCGAAGGCAGGUUACUACUAAUGGAUUGACGCUGAUGGACGAAAGCGUGGGGAGCGAACAGGAUUAGAUACCCUGGUAGUCCACGCCGUAAACGAUGGAUACUAGCUGUUGGGCGCAAGUUCAGUGGCUAAGCGAAAGUGAUAAGUAUCCCACCUGGGGAGUACGUUCGCAAGAUGAAACUCAAAGGAAUUGACGGCGNGAGAGAGACGACGACGACGACGAGGGAGGAGG
RNAcentral lists this ribosomal RNA (610 nucleotides) under uncultured bacterium. RNAcentral describes it as "bacterial SSU rRNA". It matches the Rfam family "Bacterial small subunit ribosomal RNA", at positions 338 to 951 of the family's 1533-position model. The record is from RNAcentral.